UUUAGUCUCAGCCUUACCUAAGCACAGAAGUUGGCUGAAUAUUCUGUUACCAAUUACACAGAAAUUUGGGUCAGUGAUGGAGGAGAGAACAGGAGGAAAAAAAGAGCUUGGUUUAAACAGCACCCAGGAAUCUUGUAAUUUUAUUGCCCAGCCAGCAGACCUGCCAUAGCAGACAUGAGGAAGAUGGGAGAGCAGCAGCCAGGGGAAGAUCAAACACCACAGAAUGGACUUCAGGCCCAACCAAACAGAAAACACCACCAUUUUCAGCCUCCCCUUCCACUGCCACCCCCAGUGUCACACAAAAUCCCAGCAGUGAAAAUAAACAGAAGAAAGCUCUGUUUCAGAACCUCAUGUGGACAUUCCCCGAAGGGAAAAAACCCACAAGAAUAAACUCUUGCUCA
Long non-coding RNA from Vidua chalybeata, 401 nucleotides. RefSeq lists it as uncharacterized. Lineage: Eukaryota; Metazoa; Chordata; Aves; Passeriformes; Viduidae. The transcript is spliced from 3 exons. The record is from RefSeq and is a predicted model, not a curated record.